UCCUCCGUGGCGCAAUUGGCUAGCGCGUCUGACUGUUACUUUCACAUCUGUGAUCUGGCGAUCAGGAGGUUGACAGUUCAAGCCUGUCCGGGGGAG
Molecule: non-coding RNA, 96 nt
Organism: Rostrohypoxylon terebratum
Lineage: Eukaryota; Fungi; Ascomycota; Sordariomycetes; Xylariales; Hypoxylaceae
Source: the annotation of a GenBank genome assembly